This 393-nucleotide ribosomal RNA is filed under the name uncultured bacterium. RNAcentral describes it as "bacterial SSU rRNA". It matches the Rfam family "Bacterial small subunit ribosomal RNA", at positions 28 to 412 of the family's 1533-position model. The record is from RNAcentral.
GACGAACGCUGGCGGCGCGCCUAACACAUGCAAGUCGAGCGAGAACCCGAGGAGGGGUAACCCUUCUCGGGGGAGAGCGGCGAACGGGUGAGUACCACGUGGGCAACCUGCCCCAGACUCUGGGAUAACCCCGGGAAACCGGAGCUAAUACCGGAUACUUUCGGCGGACCGCAUGAUCUGCCGAUGAAAGCUUUCGCGGUCUGGGAUGGGCCCGCGGCCUAUCAGCUUGUUGGCGGGGUAACGGCCCACCAAGGCGACGACGGGUAGCUGGUCUGAGAGGACGGCCAGCCACACUGGGACUGAGACACGGCCCAGACUCCUACGGGAGGCAGCAGUGGGGAAUCUUGCGCAAUGGGCGAAAGCCUGACGCAGCGACGCCGCGUGGGGAGUGAA